CGCGGGGGCAGGGGGGCGUCGCGGGGGGAGGUGGGUUGGUACCUGCGCUGGAAAUCCUGCUCGAAGGGGGCCAGGAGAGAAAAAAUCACAGUGCAAUGUGCUCAUGAUUCAUGCUAAUGAUUACUUCCUUGUGUCAUGAUAUUACAUCAUUUCAUGGUGCAGCCUUCUCUAACUUGGGAGUCCCAAAAAAAAUACUGCCCGUCAUCAACACUGCACAACAGGGAAAAGCCCCAGGGGAAAGGAAGCUAGGCACUGCUGGUGUUGCCUGUGAGGCAGGUGAGUAAUCUUGGGGGGCUGUCCACACAGCAUGCUGCCUCUGGCCACAGGAGAGUUAUAGAGGGUUGUUCAAGAUUACAUUUGUGACAUUUGGGAUGCUUCAAAAGUUUUUUUUUUCUUUUUGGUUUUGCCCCUUAACAGUUUUACUUGUUUUUCUCUAUAAAAAAGCUGUUAUGGUAAGUAGUGCAAUAGCUAGAUGCAACCAUAUUCCCAGUCUCUUUUUUCAAAUAGCAUAUGACACAACCUUUAGUAAAAUAUAACUAUAGCUUUUGUUACAUCAUACCAAUUAAUUACUUGUCAUCAAAUAACACAAGACCAUAUCAAAGACAUUUACAGCAUUUUUAUUAUACUAUAUUGGUCCACUGAAUCAAGCGGGCAGUUGCAGGCAACUCUUCCUUUUGCUAGCAUCUUCAGUUAAAUUUAGUCAGGAACUGAAUGCAAGAAUGUAUUAUCUCUAUUACAAAGACUAAGCUACCGGCAUUUGCUCUUUUCAGUGCAGUUCUUUCAGUUAGCAAUAGUCUUAUGUCUUAAGAGUACAAGGAAUGACCUCUACAUUGUAGACAGAUUUUUUGAUUUCUCAAACUAUUCAGUUUAGAGUCCUCUUGACAAGUGAAGGUUUAAGUCCAGCUUCCUGAUGAAGAUUUUUAACACCUACAUAAUUUCAAAACAGUCUUUUUUGGACUCUUAAUAUAUAGCAAGUUAGGAAAAAGUUCUCAUUUGCAUAGGCUCAGGCAGUUCAGUACAUUGAUGUUAUGCCACAUCCAAGACUACUUAACUGCCACACAUGCUAAAAUUUAUCAUUAUUUUUGCACUUAUCUGCCAUCACGAGAUAUUUCUUGUGUUUCCAGACCCUUUGCAGCCCUUGCAAAAAACCAUCAGAAAUUGGUAGAUUAGAUUAAAUUUUUAAAAAUGCCUCUUUCAAGUUGCUAUUUCAACAAGUAAAUGUUCUGACAUAUGCAUCCUCAUGUGCCUAACUGGCUGGUUUAGGUCUUUGUGUAUGAUACGCUUAUAUUCAUUAUUUCCUUUCAUCUCUCUUCUGGUCUAAUCCUUCAAGUAAUCCCUACCACAAGGCUUUCCUUGAAUCAGAUGAGCCCUGCUCAUUUGAGAGGAAUUGUAAGCAAACUACGUAAUUAAUAAAGUUGUGUUUUAACAGAUGAACUUGGUUCCUUAGAUUCUAAAGGGUUUCUGUAUCCAGAAAACUGAAGUAUUGUCCUGACUUCUAAACUGAUUACAGAAGAUGGCAGUAUAUAGUUGCUACCCAGCAACUUCCCUAAAGGAUGACUGGUUACUACUUCUUUCUGAAA
Molecule: long non-coding RNA, 1580 nt
Organism: Gavialis gangeticus (Gharial)
Lineage: Eukaryota; Metazoa; Chordata; Crocodylia; Gavialidae
Exons: 4
Source: RefSeq, a predicted model, not a curated record